Molecule: ribosomal RNA, 253 nt
Filed under: uncultured bacterium
Lineage: Bacteria
Description: partial 16S ribosomal RNA
Rfam family: Bacterial small subunit ribosomal RNA
Source: RNAcentral
UACGAAGGUGGCAAGCGUUGUUCGGAUUUACUGGGCGUACAGGGAGCGUAGGCGGUUGGAUAAGCCCUCCGUGAAAUCUCCAGGCUUAACCUGGAAAGUGCAGAGGGGACUGUUCAGCUAGAGGAUGGGAGAGGAGCGCGGAAUUCCCGGUGUAGCGGUGAAAUGCGUAGAGAUCGGGAGGAAGGCCGGUGGCGAAGGCGGCGCUCUGGAACAUUUCUGACGCUGAGGCUCGAAGGCCAGGGGAGCAAACGGG